AACCUUUGCCGCAGUUAGCAGAGACGUCUCGUGUCCUGUCAGUAUCUCAUGCUGCUGAGGAAACUCUCCAGCCGAGGAUAAAAAUGAAUGGAGGGUCCUGGUUGGAUGAGGAGAGGGGAGGAUCAUGUGUAUCUGAGAGACCAAAGGAGGCACAAAGAAUAAAAAAGAAUGAACCUUCACUUUACCCUGGGCUAAGAAUUGAGAACACGUCAGCACAUGUGGGUUUUACUAGUUGGCCUUCAGUGGAGCUGUUCCUGGUUUACACUGGUAUGAAGUCCAAAUCAAAUAUACAGGAGUUCAUUCUUCACCUCUGCAUAUUAUGGGUCUGACUAUGGUCUCUCAAAGGCAUGAUUCAGAAGUAACCCCAUUAAAGCCAAUGGAAUUACAGUUGUGCAAGAUUGGUGUGAAAGGAGAACCAGGCCAAUUCAGCCACUUUGGGGCUUUGCGGCAUUUCGGAAGAGCUCAUAAUGACCAGUGACACGUCCACUCUCUUAGUAAAACACACAUUCCUUCAUCACCAGGGAGAAAUACUUAGAACCUGCCUGAAAAUGAAGCCCAAAUAAACAAGACCUGGUGAAUCACAGCAGUCAGGUGGUUGUGCUUCUCCUCUCAGCUACACUGGUUUCACACUGGUGUAACACUAUUAACAUCAGUGGCAUUACACCUGAAUAAUGCCAGUACAACUGAGAAGAAGAGCCCAGGAUGGUAAAGAGCUACUAGAUUAUCCAGAGACCAUCAAUUUCCCAAUCACCAUGAAUCUGUCUACCUAAACACUUCCAGGCUUGCAAAACUCUAACAGACUUCCUCUGUUUACACCCAGAAGCAGGAGCAACUGACUACUAGCUCAUCACAUGACAAAGGAUUUUCAGUUGGAUCAGAUGACUGCUAAUUGGGGGCAUCAUAUGACAAAGGCUUUAAAUUUGACAGUGUGGUUUACCCGCUCCCAGCUUCAGGCAAAGGGGGAAAUGGAGUGGAAACAGAAAGAGACAGGAGGGAAAGGCAGAGAGAAAAGAGCUAUUGGAAUAAAAAUGUUAUUGCCAGUAAAGGGUUUCAGGGAGACUAGAGCAAGUAAAAUACAAAGGGAGGGAGUAAGUCUAUCGCCCAGGGGACAUUUUGACCCUGACUCUAUUUGUUUCUGCUUGGAUCUGC
Molecule: long non-coding RNA, 1149 nt
Organism: Malaclemys terrapin pileata
Lineage: Eukaryota; Metazoa; Chordata; Testudines; Emydidae
Exons: 5
Source: RefSeq, a predicted model, not a curated record